This 462-nucleotide ribosomal RNA is filed under the name uncultured bacterium. Its description in RNAcentral is "partial 16S ribosomal RNA". It matches the Rfam family "Bacterial small subunit ribosomal RNA", at positions 32 to 507 of the family's 1533-position model. The record is from RNAcentral.
AACCAACGCUGGCGGCGUGCCUAAUACAUGCAAGUCGAACGGGGAAAGCUUUCGGGUGAGUACUAGUGGCGCACGGGUGAGGAACGCGUGGAUAAUCUGCCUUAGAGUGGGGGAUAACUAGUCGAAAGAUUAGCUAAUACCGCAUAAGACCACGAGAGCUGCGGCUUUUGAGGUCAAAGGUUUUUCGCUCUAAGAUGAGUCCGCGUAAGAUUAGCUAGUUGGUGAGGUAACGGCUCACCAAGGCGACGAUCUUUAACUGGUCUGAGGGGAUGAUCAGUCACACUGGAACUGAGACACGGUCCAGACUCCUACGGGAGGCAGCAGUAGGGAAUAUUGCACAAUGGAGGAAACUCUGAUGCAGCGACGCCGCGUGAGUGAUGAAGGCCUUCGGGUCGUAAAGCUCUGUCGCAGGGGAAUAACACAAUGAAGGUACCCUGUAAGAAAGGAUCGGCUAACUUCGUG